UCAUCUUCUUCUCCUCCUCCCAUCUCAUGUUGGUUUCUCUUCCAUGGAAGCAUGGUAUGAAAACUUCCUAACUUUCUCUCUCUAGCUUCAAUUUUCAUGCUUUUGGUGCACCCUUUCAUAAAUCCUUAUGCUCUUCCACUCUCUCUCUUUAAAACCCUUGAAAAAUCUUGUUUCCAUACUUUCUCUCACUAGCUAGGUGUUUAGAGAGAGAAAGAAAGAAAAAAGCCUCAUAAUAGCUUGGGAAUUGUUGGAAAGAAAUUCAAAGUUACUAAACUAUCAAGGUGAGUAGUAAAUUAGCAUUGGGUUUUAAGUGCGGAUAAUGUUUAGUGAUUGAAUUGUGGGUUUAUUGUUGAGAUUGUGUAUUGACUCUAUUGUGACUAGGAUAAUGGGAAUAGAUAGCCAUUUAAAAUGGAUAUUUGAAAGCUAGCUAAGGGGUAGCUUUUAGGGUUUAUAAGUAUGAAUUGACAUUAUGGUGAUGUUAAUUUGAUGGUAGGUUCCAACGAAGCCCCAUUAUCCCAAUUGGAUCAUUAGUGAGGUUAGAGUUGGCUAAAGGCUCAAUUACUAUUGGUGAGUAAACUGCGUCUCAAAAUCAUUUUGGGAUCGUGACUGUUUUGUACAAAGAACUUAAAUGAUUUUAUAUAACUUUUUCUUAAAACAAGUGCUUUAGGAACAAGCUUUUGCUAAAUAGUUUUAAGUUGUCAAAUGUGGUUGUUAUGGAUUCAUGCACUAUUUCAUUAUGAUAUAUAUAUAUAUAUGUAUGUAUAUUGUGCAUGAUAAUUAACAUUGUGUAUGAUGACUAUAACCGUGUGUGUGCACAAUGUGGGGGGAUGCACAUGCCAGUGAUGAUGGCGGUGUGGGAGAUGGAUAAUGAUAGUGCCCGUGUGCACGAUGUGGUGGGAUGUACACGAUGGCACUGAUUGUGCACAAUGUGGGGGAAUGCACAUGAUGGCACCGGCUAUGUGCACGAUGUGGGGGGAUGUACAUGAGCCGGGUGUGAUUAUACUGAUAUUGGUGUUUAUCUAUGCAUUUAUAUAUAUACAUCUAUGUUUAUGAAAUCAAAGUUCAUGAGUAUGGUAUAUGGUUUUUCAUAUGUGAAUCUUGCAUGUUGAACAUUGAAAGUUACUAAGUAUUGUCAAAUUGGUGUUCAUUGCAAUAAGGAAUUUGGCUACAGCGAAAUGGAUUUUUCCUGCCGCCAGAAAUUUUCGGUGGUGGUACAGUAUAGUGAUUUUGAAAGUGAUUUUGACCACCUUUUGAUUAGAACUCGGAAAAGUGGUAAACAGUAAAGUCAUAGCCCUACCUCUUAGCUUUCUAAUGACCUAACAAUCAUGUCAAUUGAACCCAUGUAGUGGAAGAUAUGCUUGAAAAACCAAACCAUAUACAAAUCGAGAGUGCCUUUUUCUGUAGUGAGAAAUGUGUUGUCACGUUGCUACCUUGCUCGGGUUCUGAUAUAAUUUCCUCCACUCCCUUAUCUUCAUGAUUGAGCAUGGGUCUUUGCAAUACUAAGAGUCCACUGAUCAAUGUCCAAAACAAGGGGGUUUGGGAAAGAAAUUAUACCAAAUUGCAUUGUUUUCAAAACAAGUGCAUCACGAUUUCUAAAUUCUUCCUUAUCAAUUGCUUGUUCCCUUCCUUGUUCACUCACUGGGUUUAUACUCACCGUUUUCAACUUCAUGUUUUCAGAUUACGAGGCAGUUGGUAACUAGGUCGAGGUGCCUUUGUAGACU
RNAcentral lists this long non-coding RNA (1721 nucleotides) under Theobroma cacao (cacao). RNAcentral's name for it is "long non-coding RNA (TCAC_LNC002866)". Lineage: Eukaryota; Viridiplantae; Streptophyta; Magnoliopsida; Malvales; Malvaceae. The record is from RNAcentral.